RNAcentral lists this transfer RNA (72 nucleotides) under Myxococcales bacterium. Its description in RNAcentral is "tRNA-Asn". It matches the Rfam family "tRNA". Rfam says of the family: Transfer RNA (tRNA) molecules are approximately 80 nucleotides in length. Their secondary structure includes four short double-helical elements and three loops (D, anti-codon, and T loops). Lineage: Bacteria; Pseudomonadati; Myxococcota; Myxococcia; Myxococcales. The record is from RNAcentral.
UCCAGCGUGGCCCAAUGGCAGGGCACCCGGCUGUUAACCGGGGGUGUGAAGGUUCGAGUCCUUCCGCUGGAG